CCAGACUCCUACGGGAGGCAGCAGUGAGGAAUAUUGGUCAAUGGGCGGAAGCCUGAACCAGCCAAGUCGCGUGAGGGAUUAAGGCCCUGCGGGUCGUAAACCUCUUUUGCCGGGGAGCAGAGGUCCGGACGUGUCCGGGCCGGGAGAGUACCCGGAGAAAAAGCAUCGGCUAACUCCGUGCCAGCAGCCGCGGUAAUACGGAGGAUGCGAGCGUUAUCCGGAUUUACUGGGUGUAAAGGGAGCGUAGACGGCAGUGCAAGUCCGGAGUGAAAGCCCGGGGCUCAACCCUGGGACUGCUCUGGAAACUGUAAAGCUGGAGUGCGGGAGGGGCAGGCGGAAUUCCUGGUGUAGCGGUGAAAUGCGUAGAUAUCAGGAGGAACACCGGCGGCGAAGGCGGCCUGCUGGACCGUAACUGACGUUGAGGCUCGAAAGCGUGGGGAGCAAACAGGAUUAGAUACCCCCGUA
This 465-nucleotide ribosomal RNA is filed under the name uncultured bacterium. Its description in RNAcentral is "bacterial SSU rRNA". It matches the Rfam family "Bacterial small subunit ribosomal RNA", at positions 331 to 792 of the family's 1533-position model. The record is from RNAcentral.